AGAGUUUGAUCAUGGCUCAGAUUGAACGCUGGCGGCAGGCCUAACACAUGCAAGUCGAACGGUAACAUUUCUAGCUUGCUAGAAGAUGACGAGUGGCGGACGGGUGAGUAAUGCUUGGGAACUUGCCUUUGCGAGGGGGAUAACAGUUGGAAACGACUGCUAAUACCGCAUAACGUCUUCGGACCAAACGGGGCUUCGGCUCCGGCGCAAAGAGAGGCCCAAGUGAGAUUAGCUAGUUGGUAAGGUAACGGCUUACCAAGGCGACGAUCUCUAGCUGUUCUGAGAGGAAGAUCAGCCACACUGGGACUGAGACACGGCCCAGACUCCUAUGGGAGGCAGCAGUGGGGAAUAUUGCACAAUGGGGGAAACCCUGAUGCAGCCAUGCCGCGUGUGUGAAGAAGGCCUUCGGGUUGUAAAGCACUUUCAGUUGCGAGGAAAAGUUAGUAGUUAAUACCUGCUAGCCGUGACGUUAACAACAGAAGAAGCACCGGCUAACUCCGUGCCAGCAGCCGCGGUAAUACGGAGGGUGCGAGCGUUAAUCGGAAUUACUGGGCGUAAAGCGCACGCAGGCGGUUUGUUAAGCUAGAUGUGAAAGCCCCGGGCUCAACCUGGGAUGGUCAUUUAGAACUGGCAGACUAGAGUCUUGGAGAGGGGAGUGGAAUUCCAGGUGUAGCGGUGAAAUGCGUAGAUAUCUGGAGGAACAUCAGUGGCGAAGGCGACUCCCUGGCCAAAGACUGGCGCUCAUGUGCGAAAGUGUGGGUAGCGAACAGGAUUAGAUACCCUGGUAGUCCACACCGUAAACGCUGUCUACUAGCUGUGUG
This 821-nucleotide ribosomal RNA is filed under the name uncultured marine microorganism. Its description in RNAcentral is "bacterial SSU rRNA". It matches the Rfam family "Bacterial small subunit ribosomal RNA", at positions 8 to 826 of the family's 1533-position model. The record is from RNAcentral.